GAAAAGCACUCUGAAGAGAGAGUCAAAAGACCGUGAAACCGCUCAGAGUAUAAGCCAAUGGAGCUUGGAAGGCUUCCGCAGUGUCGGCCAUCCAUGUGGUGUGUCGUGAGGCAUGUAGCACGGUUCGUUGGGCGAAGCAUUGAGUUUGCCGAUCAGCUUACGUGCGGGGAUUCGGUUUGGGGGUCUUAGGCUUCGGCCGAAGGGCUCCUGGCCGGUUCCUUUUGAAUGAACGUUCAGAGCUACUGUGUCCUAAUGCGGUUACGCCCACCACGGCACGUUGUGAGGUCACCCACAGGCUCAAACUGCCGAUCGCGCAUCCAGGACGAUGGCAACGAUGCGUUGUUCAAUCAGCUCGAUCUUUUUGAGUGGAGCUGUCACGCGUGUCUAGUCCUGGGUCGGGCGGCGACCGAGAUAAACCUGGUAUGAUCCUCUUGCGACGAGCUGCUUUCUGGCCAGACCGACGUCCAGGCGCUUCCACUGUGCCGGAAGCGUCAAUCCCAGGCGGUUUGAACCCAGCUGCAUUCUGCAAGGUCUCUCAGCCGGGCGUUGGUCUGAGUGGUGUUAAGUCCAGCACCAUCGGUCACGUCUCGAAACACGGGCCAAGGAGUAUAGCAUGUGUGCAAGUCUAAGGGUCUCACAAAACCCGAAGGCGAAGUGAAAGCAAGUCUGUGGCGGGGGAGCUACGGCGAACCCGUCAGCCUUGUGGCACUCUGUGUUGCUCGGCUUAUGGCAGAGCUGAUCCUGCUUCUCGGUUAAUUCAUGGUGCAGGCGCAAGCUCCGGGCUCACGUACAACACUGGUCACCUCGUGUGGCUGUGUUGUGAGCACCGUGGAGCAUGCAUGCUAU
Molecule: ribosomal RNA, 846 nt
Filed under: Niphargus alasonius
Lineage: Eukaryota; Metazoa; Arthropoda; Malacostraca; Amphipoda; Niphargidae
Description: partial large subunit ribosomal RNA
Rfam family: Eukaryotic large subunit ribosomal RNA
Source: RNAcentral